GAACACAAAAUGGCGACACGUGGUUAGCAUUCGUCGCCAACGAGAAAUUGGGGUCGGCCCGAAAGCUCUAGAAUGCACCCCUAUUCCUCCCCGGGGCCAUUCCCGCUCAACGAGUUUUAUGACCUAAAAAACCCCACAGGCUGGUCUGAAGGUCGGAGGCCUAAUUUUAACGCGUUUUCCUCCCUUUAAUUUGAAACGGGAACGCGAAUAACUAAAAUGUGGGCACAAUAUUUAACCUCUUGCUUUUUUAAAGCUUAAUAAUGGAUAGUAGGGGGCAGUAUCAAGGGAUAAUUUGGGUCCCCACAGUACCAAAGCAUUUAGAAACCUCUGCUUAAUUUAAGGAAUGAGAUAAAUUACUGCUUUUCUAGAUUUGGUAGCAUGGGCUGUUGUGCUGGAGAGAACGAGAGCUACGAAGAGACUAGAAUGCCUCUGACUUUUUCAUAGGACAGUUGGCCGAGGAAGACACUUAAAGAUGAAGUGCUUAAUUCAAGGUCACAGAAUGUCGGGGAUGGACCUCCAGAUUUCCUUACUGAUGGAGUCUCACUCUGUAGCCCAAGCUGGAGUGGCGUGAUCUCGACUCACUGCAACCUCCGCCUCCUGGGCUCAAGUGAUUCUCGUGCCUCAGCCUCCUGAGUAGCUGGGACUACAGGUACGCACU
Molecule: non-coding RNA, 658 nt
Filed under: Pongo abelii (Sumatran orangutan)
Lineage: Eukaryota; Metazoa; Chordata; Mammalia; Primates; Hominidae
Source: RNAcentral